GUGACAGAGUGAGACUCCAUCUCAAACAAACAAACCACAGAAAUCUGGCUGGGUUCAGUGGUUCACACCUGUAAUCCCAGCACUUUGGGAGGCUGAGGCAGGAGAUCACUUGAGUCUAAUUCUAGGCCAGCCUGGGCAACACGGACCCCAUCUCUACAAAAAGAAAAUAUAUAUAUAUAUAUUUAUAUAUUAUAUAUUUUUAAUUAGCAGGACGUGGUGGUAUGCGCCUGUAGUCCCAGCUACUUGGGAGGCUUAGGUGGGAGAAUCGCUUGAAGCCAGGAGGUGGCGGCUACAGUGAGCUGUGAUUGCACCACUGCACUCCAGCGUGGACGACACAACAAGAUCUUGUCUGAGUAAAUAAAUAAAAUAAAAAAAAAUUCUGAUAUUACCACUCCCUUGCUUAAAAACCCUCCACUGUCCUGGAAUGAAAUCCAAACCCUUCACCAGGCCCCAUGGCCCCUGCCCACUCUGGGCCCUCAUCUUGUGCUGCCAGCGCCCCCUCCCCCACCAACCUCCUCACACAACUCCUCAGUUUCUACAAGUUUCUUCUUCCCCCAAGACCUUUGUAGCUGCUGUUGUCUCUAUCUGGAACAUUUUUUCCUCCUCUCUACUCUUCCCAUGGUCAGCUCCAACUUCAGAUCUCAGCCUACCAGCUCCUCAAAUGUCCCAGGAACCCUAAGCAGUCCCCCAAAUUCUCUGUUACAGCAUCCUGUUUGUUUUCCUUUACAGUACUUGUUGCAGACUGUUUUGUUUCCAUGUCUUUAUCAUCACUGUCUCUGUCCCUCUCCAGAAUCCACAGCUUUACUGGGGCUGGGACCUUGUCUGGCCUGUCCAACAGAGACUCUCCAUCACCCGGCACAGAGUAGGUGCUCAACAAACGGUUGUUAAAAUCAAAGGGGGGACAAGUAGAGGGGAAGUGCCUUCAAGUUCUCAAGAACUCUCCUGCAUCUAACUUCAUAAUGCCUACAGAAACAGGGAACACAUCUAAAGGUCACAGGCCCUGGGGAGGCAGGGUGCAUGGGAAAGCUCUGAAUUCUGGAGACUUCUGCCUCACUCCCACUGGGUGGAGGAGUUUCCAUUACCCAUCCCAGAGAGAGAGGGGACUCUGAGGCUGCUUCACUUACUGCUGGGUUGCAGCUGGGCUUUUUCUAGAACAGGACACUUGGUUACACUACGUUACCAGGUGUCGAUUGCCAGAGGAAAAGACUUUUGAAAAAGAAGUUCAGUUCACAGAACAUCUCCCCGGGGCAUGUGGGUGGUGUAAGGGAUUCACCCGGCUGGUGUACGGGAUUUGUCAGUUCUUUUAUACCAUCUCUUUUAAGCUUCUCACCCUUCCCUCAGAAGCAGGUAUCACUGGUUCCUUUUACAGAGAAUGAAACUGAGGCUUGGGGAAGUUAACUCGCCCAGGUGUGGUUAAGCGAUGGCUCCUCCUCCUUCUGUCUCAUUUCAGAGAUUUCCCCCUUCUGGCAAGCUCUCCUGACCACCCUCCAGGGACCCCAGACAGCAUUUGGUCCCUGGCUCUGUGUCCCCACACAGCCACCCUACCCCAUGCUGCCUUUUACUGAGGCACACAGCAUUUUAGACAGGAGAACCCUGAUGGCAGAGGCUGGGUCUCACGGGACCCUGUCUCCUUAAGGGCUUAGUCUGGGGCUGGAGCCUCUACAGAUGUUUGAGCAAAGGCGGGAGGCAAGGGAGGGAGGCCGGAAGCCACCCCAGGGACUCUGAUGUCCACCCUGCGGCAGCCUGUCUGUGGACAGAUGAUGCAGGAAGCUCACGGAACUCCCAAGCAGAAAUCAGCAGAGAUGGAGCCUGGUUAUUUUUCAGCACACAAAAGCCGAGGGCCCCUUCCUGAGAUGCCUGCCUCAGCCCGGUAGUGAAACUGAACCCACCUCAGACGGGAAAGGCUUGGCGGGCUCUGCUUGGUGGGAAGUCCACAGUGGUGCCUCGUCCCUGAGAUGAGAAUCAUCACCUCCGCUUUACAAAUGAGAUGACCAAGGGUCAGAGAGGAGAAAGGACCUCCCCCCAGCCCUGAGUCACCUGCCUGGAGACUGAGGGAGCCAUAAUGCGAAUCUUCCCCUUGCCAAACCCACUGACUCCAUUACGCUGCCUCCAGAGAACCCGAGCCCCGCGGCGAGAAAGUGGUAGAGCUGGGCCUCGAACCUGGGUCCUGGACUCUUGGUCCUGUGCUCCUUGUGGAAGAUGGAACUGCUUCUUCAGAGACAAGGUCUCAUUGUAUUGCCCGGGCUGUUCUAACUCCUGGGCUCAAGCGAUCCUCCGGCCUCAGCCUCCUAAAGUGAUGGGAUUACAGUCAUGAGUCACCAUGCUUGGCCUGGGCAGGACUUUCUCAAGUGGAACUGCCUCACACACAGACUCCCUGGAGCUGGCAGGAUGAAGCCCAUGAACCUUGGCCUGGCUUGCUAAACCCUCCCUCCCGACUCCCUCAGGAGUUCGAGUCUGCCUUCUUUCUCCGGCUGGCUCCUCAGCUUAACGCGCUUUCCUCCAGGCAGCUCUCUCGGGCUUCGCAGUGACCCUUCCUCGGUGCUCCGCGGCAGCAUGCUUCUGGCAUCUCAUCCCAACACAGUGAAGAGCAGCCAAGUGCGGCUGUGUGGCCCUGACCAAGUCAUUUCACUUCAAUUUUAUGCUUUGGCUUUCACAUCUUUCCACGGACGUGAAUGGAGAUGAUCAUGGUGCCGACCCCAAAGGAUCCUUACACGUCUUAAAAAAGUGAGCCACGGAAAGGCCUCAGCCCAGUGCCUAGCAGAGAAGCAGCACAUGGGAGGGAAGGAACGACCAGAGAAGACCCGUGGUGUGCCAGGCACUAGACCUGGGGCUCGGUGGCACAUGUCAGCUCCUUGCAAGUGUGAAACAACUGGAGUGCAGCGAGCAUCAGUAACUCACCCUAAGUCACACAUCUGGUAAACAGCAAAGCCUGGAUUUGAACCCAGGUUUUCCCAUGACAUCAGAUAAGACGGCAAUCACCACCUCCUUCUAACCCACCCUGCCUCACCUGCUCCAUCCUUACGACUUCAGGUGUCACCUCCCAGCUGGGUUUAAGGGGCUGAGUUGUCCACUCUGAUCUUCUCCAAGCACAAACUGCAAAGCAGACCAGAAAGCAGCUGGUCCUGACUCCAGGGCUACCCACAGAUGCCCCUGCACCUCCUCAUGCUCCUGUGCUCCUGUGUGAUGUCCUGGACUGUGUGAUGACCAGGCUGGGGAAGUCCCAAUCUGAAGAGACCAAGCGCUCUCUGACAAUGUGCUGAUCUAAUCACGUACAACUUAAGACAAAGUUAACCCGUCUCAUUGAAUGAUAUGGUAUAAUGGUGAUGACUGAGCUGCCCAGUAAUUGUGCUCAACCAGGAAGCAGCUCAUGGAGUCAGUUGUAAUUAGUAUUUGUGUUACACAGGUGAGUGGGUGGGUGAGGGCUGGGCAGAGGGAGGAGGAAGUGGGUGGGGCAGGAAGCUCUGGGGACUCCUUGGAUCCAUGAACCCCAUGCCAGCCAACUCAUGUGGUUGAUCCUGUCUAACCUUCAUGAUGACCUCAUGAUGUACUGUUAUCUCUCUUCUAAGGUGAGAAAACAGGCUCAGAGAAGUCCAUUCACUUGUCCAAGAUCAGACAGCUAGAAAAUGACAGAGCCAGGGUUCCCUCUUCAGCCCAGGCGAUGUCUUGGACAGCAGAAGGAACAGGAAUAGGGCUGGGAGGCUGGAGAUCCACAUCUCGGUCCCAGUUCUAACACUGCCUUACCCUGGGCCUCAGCAAGUAGCAUCCCUCUUCAGGAUACAAAGAGAUAGUAUGUCUGUCAGGUUGCAGACGGCUGAGGGUGUGGACUUGGGAGCUAGGCUCCUUGGAUUCUAAUCCUUGGGCAAGCUACUUCACCAUCUGAGCCUCAGUGUCCUCAUCUGUAAAAUGGAGAUGACAACAGUGUCUCCCUCAUAGGCUUGUGAAGAUAAAACGAGUAACAAGACUUAGAACAAUGCCUGAAUAUUAUUGUCAUUUAUGGGGAAAAAAUGAGCUUUGCUGUCCAUUUUUCAUCUGUAAAAUGGGGAAGUAGUUGCUGGAUCUGAACAGUGGUUUGCAAACAGAUUUUUUUUCAUUCCAUAGAGUCCUUUAUUUAAAAAACUAAACACAGCAACCCAAAAUACAAAAGAGAUGUAAGUGGAGCUGCCACUUAGGCACUCAAUGAGCUCAUAUCCUGACCCUGAACCCAGCUCCCUCAGGGGUUCUAAGGAAUGGAGUUUGAAAAAUCACUCAACUGUCUCUGAGAACUGGUGGCUCUAAGCUGAGAUCAGGGUCGGGUGGAAGCAGGAAACCAUGGCAUGGGCCAGGAUGCUGCUCACCCACUGGAGGCAGCACAUGGGGGCUGUGGGACACGCAGGGUUCCCUGCUGCUGGCCUGCUGGCUGCCACCAUUCCAGCUGGACAACAGUAUCCCCAGGAGGCGGCUGAGAAGCAGGGAGAAGAACACCAGGCUUGGAGUCAGGUGGGUGGCUCUGGGCAGGUCGUGUCCCUCUCUGGGGCCCAUUUUCCUCACCUCUAAGAGAGGGAUGGUAACACUGCACUCAUCAGGGGUCCUAAGGACAAAAUUGCAUCACACAUGUGAAAAGGCUUUGCAACGGAAAGACUGCCCUGAAUGACUUUUUUUUUUUUGAGACAGAGUCUUGCUCUGUUGCCCUAGCUGGAGUGUAGUAGUGCAAACUCAGCUCACUCCAACCUCCGCCUCCUGGGCUCAAGCAAUUCUCCUACCUCAGCCUCCCAAGUAGCUGGGACCACAGACAUGUUCC
RNAcentral lists this long non-coding RNA (4777 nucleotides) under Homo sapiens (human). RNAcentral describes it as "HSALNT0002819". Lineage: Eukaryota; Metazoa; Chordata; Mammalia; Primates; Hominidae. The record is from RNAcentral.